Long non-coding RNA from Schistocerca gregaria, 462 nucleotides. RefSeq lists it as uncharacterized. The record is from RefSeq and is a predicted model, not a curated record. Lineage: Eukaryota; Metazoa; Arthropoda; Insecta; Orthoptera; Acrididae. The transcript is spliced from 3 exons.
UUUCUGCUACUUCUGCGAUUUCUGUGACUUCUGCUACUUCUGCGAUUUCUGUGACUUCUGCGAUUUCUGCGACUUACCACCGUAUGAAAAAGUUACAUCUGCCCACACAGAAAAUUGCAUCUCAACAAAUCUGUCAUUGGUACCCGAACUACAUUUCAGUCACUCAGUAAAUUGAUAACUCAAAAUAUCAUUGUCAACAGAUCUGGAGAAAUUGCCACUGCGUCUUUAGACCGUUUUCGUCAGACGAGAGACACAGUUCUGACUCUUGAUUACUGGUUGCUGUACGUAUCUAUCCACAUCAAGGCUAUUGAGAGAGACUCGUGAAGAUUCAAGACAGCUCUUAGAGGAUUUGCAGUUUAAAAGUGACAUAAUUGUGAAAUAAGUGUGCAGAUGAGUGAUUAAACUGUGUUUUAUUGAAGUUGUUAUGCGAUUUUAAAGGAAUAAUAAAUGUUAAAUACAGUG